RNAcentral lists this non-coding RNA (100 nucleotides) under Clostridiales bacterium. Its description in RNAcentral is "SAM-I sequence". It matches the Rfam family "SAM riboswitch aptamer (S box leader)". Rfam says of the family: The SAM riboswitch is found upstream of a number of genes which code for proteins involved in methionine or cysteine biosynthesis in Gram-positive bacteria. The SAM riboswitch acts at the level of transcription termination control. The predicted structure consists of a complex stem-loop region followed by a single stem loop terminator region. Lineage: Bacteria; Bacillati; Bacillota; Clostridia; Eubacteriales. The record is from RNAcentral.
UCCUUAUCAAGAGCGAUGGAGGGAAUAGGCCCUAUGAAGUCCAGCAACCGGUAUUGCACGGUGCUAAAUCCUACAGGUAUGGAUACCUGGAAGAUGAGGU